RNAcentral lists this small RNA (84 nucleotides) under Marmota monax (woodchuck). Its description in RNAcentral is "U2 spliceosomal RNA". The record is from Rfam by way of RNAcentral. Lineage: Eukaryota; Metazoa; Chordata; Mammalia; Rodentia; Sciuridae.
AUCGCUUCUCGGCCUUUUGGCUAAGAUCAAGUGUAAUAGUGAUCUGAUAAUUUACUUAUCAAACUUAUAACGAGCAUACUAUAU